This 515-nucleotide long non-coding RNA is filed under the name Helianthus annuus (common sunflower). Its description in RNAcentral is "sRNA HanXRQr2_Chr05g0209391". Lineage: Eukaryota; Viridiplantae; Streptophyta; Magnoliopsida; Asterales; Asteraceae. The record is from RNAcentral.
GUUUUGCUUGGUGGAUAUCUAAAGUCUAUUGAGCAAUCUCAAGUACAAUAAUUGAUGAUAUUUGGUGAUGAUAUUGAUGCAUGCUCACAUACGAUUGGACGAGGCCUUAGUGACAUUAAAAGAUGCAAGACUAGUUAAAUUUUGUUAUACUUCUUUCUUUGUUAAGACAUUGUACUCUUAAAUCAAUAAAACAACAUUUCAAUUUUCCAUGUGUUAUGAAACAAUGAUUCUGUUACAACACUCCCCGAUGAUUCCGCCACGUUUUGUUGUUUUAUGUGGUCGAGGUGUGAUAACGACCCCAAGAUCGAGAAAAUACAUGCGCAUAAAUUAGAGGCAAACUUUAAUUUCUUACUAUGUUAAUUUGAAAUGAUCUUGAAGUAGGAUAAGGUUAUCCAUGGGCGGUUACAUAUAUUUCUCUGAUUAGGUGGAAUUCAACUAUAGAGAUAAAUUUUAUGUUUUUUUUGCUUGUACUGUUCAGAACAUUGUCACCAAAGUCGGCUCACUCUUUGAUAUGA